RNAcentral lists this ribosomal RNA (847 nucleotides) under uncultured Actinomycetes bacterium. RNAcentral describes it as "bacterial SSU rRNA". It matches the Rfam family "Bacterial small subunit ribosomal RNA", at positions 239 to 1077 of the family's 1533-position model. The record is from RNAcentral. Lineage: Bacteria; Bacillati; Actinomycetota; Actinomycetes.
UAUUCAGCAUGGUUGGUGGGGUAUGUGGCUUACAAGGGCUUUGAACGGGGUAGCCGGCCUGAGAAGGUGACCGGCCACAAUUGGGGAACUGAGAUAAGGGCCCCAAGAAUUCCUAACGGGAAGGCAGCAGUGGGGAAUUUUGCACAAUGGGCGGAAGCUUGAUGCAGCAACGCCGCGUGCGGGAUGAACGCCAUCGGGUUGUAAACCGCUUUAGCCUGUGACGAAGCGUGAGUGACGGUCAUGGGUAAAGAAGCACCCGGCUGACUACGUGCCAGCAGCCGCGGUGAUACGUAGGGUGCGAGCGUUGUCCGGAUUUAUUGGGCGUAAAGGGCUCGUAGGUGGUUGAUCGCGUCGGAAGUGUAAUCUUGGGGCUUAACCCUGAGCGUGCUUUCGAUACGGGUUGACUUGAGGAAGGUAGGGGAGAAUGGAAUUCCUGGUGGAGCGGUGGAAUGCGCAGAUAUCAGGAGGGACACCAGUGGCGAAGGCGGUUCUCUGGGCCUUUCCUGACGCUGAGGAGCGAAAGCGUGGGGAGCGAACAGGCUUAGAUACCCUGGUAGUCCACGCUGUAAACGGUGGGUACUAGGUGUGGGGUCCAUUCCACGGGUUCCGUGCCGUAGCUAACGCUUUAAGUACCCCGCCUGGGGAGUACGGCCGCAAGGCUAAAACUCAAAGGAAUUGACGGGGCCCCGCACAAGCGGCGGAGCAUGCGGAUUAAUUCGAUGCCCACGCGUAGAACCUUACCUGGGUUUGACAUGGAUCUGGGUUGUGCUCAGAGAUGGGUGUGCCUCUUUUGGGGUCGGUUCACUAGGUGGUGCAUGGUCUGUCGUCAGCUNGUUGCGAACUUUGA